CUGGGCGUAAGCGCGCGCAGGCGGCUUUACAAGUAUGGCGUGAAAUCUCCCUGCUCAACGGGGAGGGUGCGUUGUAGACUGUAAGGCUUGAGGACGGUAGAGGGGGGUAGAAUUGCUGGUGUAGCGGUGAAAUGCGUAGAGAUCAGCAGGAAUACCCGUGGCGAAGGCGGCCCCCUGGGCCGUACCUGACGCUGAGGCGCGAAGGCUAGGGGAGCGACCCGGAUUAGAUACCCGGUUAGUCCUAGCAGUAAACGAUGGCUACUAGGUGUGGGGGGUGUUGACCCCUCCUGUGCCGAAGCUAACGCAUUAAGUAGCCCGCCUGGGGAGUACGGUCGCAAGACUAAAACUCAAAGGAAUUGACGGGGACCCGCACAAGCAGCGGAGCGUGUGGUUUAAUUCGAUGCAACGCGAAGAACCUUACCUGGGCUUGACAUCUAUUUGCAACACUCUGAAAGGGGUGCCUCCUUCGGGACAGAUAGACAGAUGCUGCAUGGCUGUCGUCAGCUCGUGUCGUGAGAUGUUGGGUUAAGUCCCGCAACGAGCGCAACCCUUGUCCUUAGUUGCAUAUCUAAGGAGACUGCCGGUACAAAACCGGAGGAAGGUGGGGAUGACGUCAAGUCAGCAUGGCUCU
RNAcentral lists this ribosomal RNA (631 nucleotides) under uncultured bacterium. Its description in RNAcentral is "bacterial SSU rRNA". It matches the Rfam family "Bacterial small subunit ribosomal RNA", at positions 554 to 1202 of the family's 1533-position model. The record is from RNAcentral.